GGAGGUUCCCAGGCUAGGGGUUGAAUCAGAGCUACAGCUGCCAGCCUAUACCACAGCCAUAGCAACGCCAGAGCUGAGCCACGUCUGCGACCUACACCACAGUUCAUAUGGAAAUGCUGGAACCUUAAUCCACUGAUCGAGGCCAGGAAUCGAACCCCCAACCUCAUAGUUCCUAGUCCGAUUCGUUUCCACUGCACCACAACAGGAAUUCCGAUGAAUAAUAAUUUUUGAUUAUUUUUGUAAUCAAUAAAAUGUAAAGAAUAAAACUGAAAAAGAAAGUAAUCAGAUUGUACCUCUUGUCCUGCAACUAUUGCUACAUUCUGCCCCCUUUAAAUCCAUCUAGUUCCAGGUCGGUAUCACCCACCUGUGGACUAAAUAGCUCUAAAUAAAGUGUCUCUGGAAAGCUCUAGGGUAGAGGGAAUAAGACAAAUUUGUUUGUGACUUUAAAAGAUGGUGCUUACUUCCAAAUUUCAGGUUAGGAGAUGGGAGUAUUCUCAGCCCUAUGGAGUGAAAGCUGAAGUUUUGGUUCGCUGUUUAACUUCUCAGAGAACCUAAUCAGAUUAACAACUUCAGUAGGAACUAGAUGCGAUGUUUCAAUUUAGUUUAUAUUAUCAAGCUUCCCCAAGCUAAAAAUAAAAUCAAAGAAUAUUCUUUUGUUAACUGUAAAAUAAAACAAAGCUCCAUCACUUAAUUGAUCUUAUAAAAAUCAAGGUAUAGUAUAUCCAAAACUUUUAAGUAUCAGAGCAUCUGGGUUAUAAUUCGAGUUCUACAGUAAUAUGUGGGCUCAUGUUACUGCACGCCACUCCAAACAUAGUAAGUUCAAACAUAGUAAUUUCUGGAGUUCCUGUCAUGGCGCAGCGGAAACGAAUCUGACUAGGAACCAUGAGGUUGCCAGUUCUAUCCCUGGCCUCGCUCAGUGGGUUAAGGAUCCCAUGUUGCUAUGACCUGUGGUAUGGGUAGCAGAAAGGGCUUGGAUUCCGAGUUGCUGUGGCUGUGGUGUAAGCCGGCAGCUGUAGCUCUGAUUCAACCCCUAGCCUGGGAACCUCCAUGUGCUCUGUCAUCCCGUCCCUGGGGGUCUCUCAAAUCCACCCACCGCCACGCUCCACGUCAGCUCAGCACCCUCCCUCACCUGGACCACAGCCUUAUGUCUGGUCUCCUUGGUCCUCACGGUCUAUUCUGCGCACUAUAGCUGGACUGAUCUGUUAUGGUUCACUUUACAAUCACAUCUUUUCUCCGUUUUAACCCUUUGGUGCCUCCCCAGUGCUCACAAGACAAGGUAUUCUCAGCCCUAUGGAGUGAAAGCUGAAGGGUUGGUUCGCAGUUUGAGUUAAGGGUGAGGCUUGAGGCAGCUUUCCUAUUAAACGCUGCCUUGGUUAAAGCAGUGAUUCCCAAUCUUGAGAUUUACCCCCAAACUUUUUAAGGCUGAUGCAUUCUGAAAACUAUCCCAGACAACUCAAAGUGGGCAGAUGCCCACACUUUGAGGAACACUGAUGAGUGACAAGCAAUAAAGAGAGUCAGAGCUCCAAAUGCGGGAGCAGCCUGGAGUCUGGCAUUAACCAAAGGUGGCUUCCAAGUUCAGGGAAAGCUGCUGUUCUCAGAAUCUGCACCAAAGGUGACUCAUUUUCUCUCAUCCCCUCACCAAAGAGGAGGGUUCUGGUGACAAGCUCCAGCCAGGGGCUCUUUAAAAAAGCAAUGUAAAUAUUGCAUCUUCCUUUUGUUAAUAAUGCACCUAUUUAUUUAUAGAAAGUAAAUGUUUAAAAAGCAGCAGCCUCAUGAUUUUAAUUUGGAAUUUAAUCCUUUUACAGAAUUCAAGAGCAAAAUUCCACAAGGGCUGGACCAGUUCAUACAAAUACUGAGUCUCCAUCAGCUCUCCAAGCCUCUGUGCACUGCGUGUUCAAAUACAUGUUGGGUGUGGGGCGGGGGAAGGGUUGGGAAGGAGGCUCUGUUUUUUAUCCCACAGUUUCUCAUUGAGAAACUGAUUCCCUCUUUGCCUUCACACAGGACUGAAAAAAUGAUUCCAAACUGCAUACAUCUAUUUGAUGUUAAAAAAAAAAAAGGGGAGUUUCUGUUGCGGCACAGCGGAAACAAAUCCAACUAGGAACCAUGAGGUUGCGGGUUUGAUCCCUGGCCUCACUCAGUGGGUUAAGGGUCUGGUGUGGCUGUGGCUGUGGCAUAGGCUGGCAGCUGUAGCUCCAAUUGGACCCCCUGGCCUGGAAACCUCCAUAGCCACGGGCGCAGCCCUAAAAAGACAAAAAGACCAAAAAAAAAAAAAAGAAAAGAAAAAAAAGAAAAAGAACUUGAAGAGAGAACAUCUCUCUUAGGAAACUGUGCAUUCUAAUUUCUAAGUCUUAUUCCAAGGCACUUUUAUUAUUUUUGUACCAAUCAUCUCUCAUUAUUAUUAUUACUCUUUGAACAGACAGGCCUGGGAUUGACUACUAUCCCCCAAACUACUAGCUGCCUAAAUCUGGUCAAUGAACUUACCCUCCCCAAGCCUGUUCUCUGGCUUUUCUUAUUUAAAAUAAGUAUGUGGAACCUGGUAAAACAAGGUAGGUGUCAGAGUUCCCACUGUAGCAUAGUGGGUUAAGAAUCAGAUUGCAGUGGCUGGAGUCACUGCAGAGGUGCAGGUUUGAUUCCUGGCCCAGCACAGUGGGCUAAAGGAUCUGGCAUUGCCACAGAUGUGGCUUGGAUUCAACCCCUGGCCUGGGAAUUACCAUGUGCCAUAGGUGGGGCCAUAAAACAAAAUGUAUGUAAAUUCCCCUUCCUUUCCCUUCUCCCCGCUGCCCGUCACAUACCACAGCAUUGCCUCCGGGAUGCAGUUGUGCAGUUGAUGAUCAAUCUCCUUUUGGUCUAGAACUGGAAUUUAUUUCCUUGCACUCAUGCCCUUUGUACUAACGUCAGUUCGAAGAAAACAUCGUUUGGUCUCAUGUGGUCCAGCAGAGCAUCCUCUAAGAGGGCUGUUGGUUGGCUGUCAAGAGGACUUUCAGGUGGCAUUUAUCCUAUGGGAACUCAUGACGGUCCAAGGCCUCCUUUUCAGCCUUCCAGACCAAGAACCUGAUUUGUCCAAUGUGCUGAUGGAGGGUCUCUCCU
Molecule: long non-coding RNA, 3087 nt
Filed under: Sus scrofa (pig)
Lineage: Eukaryota; Metazoa; Chordata; Mammalia; Artiodactyla; Suidae
Description: lncRNA (ENSSSCG00040030739.1)
Source: RNAcentral